This 568-nucleotide ribosomal RNA is filed under the name Salmonella enterica subsp. enterica serovar Uganda. RNAcentral describes it as "partial 23S ribosomal RNA". It matches the Rfam family "Bacterial large subunit ribosomal RNA", at positions 711 to 1275 of the family's 2925-position model. RNAcentral also lists the same sequence under 1 other name. The record is from RNAcentral. Lineage: Bacteria; Pseudomonadati; Pseudomonadota; Gammaproteobacteria; Enterobacterales; Enterobacteriaceae.
AGACCCGAAACCCGGUGAUCUAGCCAUGGGCAGGUUGAAGGUUGGGUAACACUAACUGGAGGACCGAACCGACUAAUGUUGAAAAAUUAGCGGAUGACCUGUGGCUGGGGGUGAAAGGCCAAUCAAACCGGGAGAUAGCUGGUUCUCCCCGAAAGCUAUUUAGGUAGCGCCUCGUGAAUUCAUCUCCGGGGGUAGAGCACUGUUUCGGCUAGGGGGCCAUCCCGGCUUACCAACCCGAUGCAAACUGCGAAUACCGGAGAAUGUUAUCACGGGAGACACACGGCGGGUGCUAACGUCCGUCGUGAAGAGGGAAACAACCCAGACCGCCAGCUAAGGUCCCAAAGUCAUGGUUAAGUGGGAAACGAUGUGGGAAGGCCCAGACAGCCAGGAUGUUGGCUUAGAAGCAGCCAUCAUUUAAAGAAAGCGUAAUAGCUCACUGGUCGAGUCGGCCUGCGCGGAAGAUGUAACGGGGCUAAACCAUGCACCGAAGCUGCGGCAGCGACGCUUAUGCGUUGUUGGGUAGGGGAGCGUUCUGUAAGCCUGUGAAGGUGGCCUGUGAGGGUUGCUG